RNAcentral lists this ribosomal RNA (411 nucleotides) under Triticum aestivum (bread wheat). Its description in RNAcentral is "partial small subunit ribosomal RNA". Lineage: Eukaryota; Viridiplantae; Streptophyta; Magnoliopsida; Poales; Poaceae. The record is from RNAcentral.
AUGUCUUCUCACAUUUCAGGCCAUAGCUAUUUUGUGGACGCAACAUCGGGAUCGAACUCUCCCCAUGCUCCGGUCGGCGAUGAUCAUGCCGAAGCUGACGCUGAUGCAGACCAAGCAGAAAGUUGGGUAGAAGGACAACUCAGCGAGCACUCGGUGAACGGCAGAGCCGACGGACCCUGUGAAAGUGCAGACGAAGGUGAGGCCGAUGGCGAAUUCAAAGUUCAAUCAAAGUUAGUCGCCGUGGAAGGAGUAGGCGAUUACGAUCCAGAUGAUCAUUUCAUAGUCGCCGAUGAUGAGACAGAUCCACUACAAGCUGGAAGCUACUCGGAGUCUGCAAACAACUGGGAGGCUCACCGGUGGGAGGAAGAUGAUGCUGAAGUGAGAGCUGUCAAGCGAGCAAGAAACGAUUAG